GUGUGUGUGUGUGUGUAUGUAUCUAGAUCUAUAUAUAUAUAUAUAUAUAUAUAUUAUAUAUAUAUAUAGAUCUAGAUAUCCAUAUAGCACCUACAUAUAGAUCUAGAUACAUACACACACACACACACACAC
Pelobates cultripes (western spadefoot toad) is the source of this 132-nucleotide non-coding RNA. The record is from the annotation of a GenBank genome assembly. NCBI's taxonomy places the organism in Eukaryota, Metazoa, Chordata, Amphibia, Anura, Pelobatidae.